Long non-coding RNA from Acipenser ruthenus (sterlet), 2189 nucleotides. RefSeq lists it as uncharacterized. NCBI's taxonomy places the organism in Eukaryota, Metazoa, Chordata, Actinopteri, Acipenseriformes, Acipenseridae. The transcript is spliced from 4 exons. The record is from RefSeq and is a predicted model, not a curated record.
AUUGCGGUCAUACCGUGGUUGCCAUAACAACAGUAAGUACAUUUAUAUAAUUGUGCGCUAGUAGUACAUUAUUGAUAAUAUUUAAUAGAAGCCUAUAUAUUUUGGGUAAUUUAAGCAUUACAGAAGUAGUUCUGAAAAAUAUUAAAUGUAAUAAUUAUUAAACUAUAUCUCUCUGUAUUUGUUUAUUUAGCAGACACCUUUAUCCAAGGUGUCUUACAGAGACUAGGGUGUGUGAACUAUGCAUCAGCUGCAGAGUCACUUACAAUUAUGUCUCUCCCGAAAGACAGAGCACAAGGAGGUUAAGUGACUUGCUCAGGGUCACACAAUGAGUCAGUGGCUGAGGUGGGAUUUGAACCGAGAACCUCCUGGUUACAAGCCCUGUUCUUUAACCACUGGACCACACAGCCGCCUUCAGCUCUCUCAAUGGCCCUAUUGUCAGCUGUAUCUACUGCAAUUUUAAUAUGUACAUUGCCCUGUAGAUCACAAUAUGAUGAGGGAGUGUUUAGUGCAGGAGACUGAGACUCUCCUUCGGCUCAGCCAAGUUAAACGGUGAGCCACAUACCGUGGGGUGUUGCCUAAAGAGAUAUACACUGUUGGAUAUUGCUUGGUACACAAAUUCUAAUGAUCUCCAUGUCUUCUUACCUUAUUAGCAUUAUAGUAGUAUUGCCAUGGAUUCUCCCCUUGUCUUGAAAAUAUUUUGGUUAUUGCCUUUGUUUUAUAUACAGCUAUGGCCAAAAGUUUUGCAUCACCUAGAAUUUUAUGAACAUAAUUUAGAUCUUUCAAUAAAGAAACUACAAAGUGAUAUCGUAAAAGCCUACCGGAAUAGUAGUACACUAUUUCAUUGUAGAUUUUGAAAUGUCAUAUUUUUUCUAUUUUUGUCAGUUUUUUUGUUAAGUAUAUGGAAAACAAAGCGGUAUGUAAUUCUAUAUGUUAACGUAACAUUAUUCAGCUGGUUUCAUUCGACUUUAGGAAGCAAAAAUUGUUAAUUCUAUAGGGCGUUACAAAACCUUUGGCCAUAGUUGUACACUGAUUCAGGAUAUACAGAUGUUUCUACUGCAGUACUGUAGAUCAAAAUAAUUAAAUUGCUCCUCCUUAGUAUCUUAACAGCUUCCUGUGCUGUUGGUCACAUGCCUUGAUUGCAGCUAGACUAUUGGAACAAAGCUAUAGGAAUUGAAGUGAUUGGGCACCAAAAAACAUCAACAACUUUUACUUUAAAAUAUAUCUGCAUAUUUCAAACUAAAGAAUAAAUUACAUGCAAAGAGCAAAAAGAUCUUCGACAGCAGAAAAGAGGACCAGUCAUAAUAUUGCUAGUUUAGAUGUUCGCCUCUUGUUUAUCCCUCCAUUAUUAUAUGCUUUCAGCUGUUAGUGCCUUUUUUUGUUUUGUAGUUAAUUUUUAUUUUAGUUUUUAUAAAUGUAUUUGUAGUCCUUGCAUGAUCCAGAAUUUGAUCUUGGGGAGGGAUCACACAUAUCAGGAUGCCCAGCAGACUCUUGAGGAAGCAAAUAAGCUCUGCUCAGGUCGCACCUCAGUUGACGUUAUCUUCGGCCGUCCAGGACAGAGUGUGGAAUCAUGGGAAAAAGAGCUAGAGGAGCUGCUAUUGGUCUGCGAUGAUCAUGUGUCCCUGUAUCAGCUAACCCUGGAGAGAGGAGCCCACGAUAGGUUUCUCCUGCAGGAGACAGGGCGAUGCUGAGAGAAGCCCGGAUUUAGACUCUUCAACCAGACGUCUGGAUGAGGGAGGUGCAGAGGUGUGGUCAUGGAACCAGGAAGAGAGUGCCUCUGAGCCGAGUUGGUGUGUGAGUUAACAAAGCAGUACAGACAACACCACCUGUGCCUGGAGACAACGGCUUUAAUUCUGAAGAAGACAUGGUGAUGGGUCUGCGGAUGACAGUGGGCAUCACUCAUGAAGUACAUCUGUACAGUUAGAACUGCACUGUCUGUCCUGAGUGGAGCCUACAGGAAGUCGUCACAGGGUCCCAGGAAGUGCAAGGCCUGCUCCGGGAAGGUUUGCUGAUCACGGACAGCAGAAGACUGAUAGACAACCCCUCAUACUACCCUGUGUAUAUGAACUCACGACACAGCUCCUUGUGCAGCAGCUGAAAGAGGCUUUACAGAUCACAUUUUAUCUGCCGUUCUGAAAACUGUUUUCUUCUACGUUGAAAUACGUUAAUACAUAAAGGACUUCAAAAACUAA